Molecule: non-coding RNA, 2560 nt
Organism: Rattus norvegicus (Norway rat)
Lineage: Eukaryota; Metazoa; Chordata; Mammalia; Rodentia; Muridae
Source: RefSeq, a predicted model, not a curated record
CAGAGUUCUUCAGAUUUCUGAGGUGUCUCUUUUUUUUUUUUUUUUUUUUUGACAGCUUUUGGAAUCUUUGCACAUGUGUGAUGGGAUCGCUUAGUGGUGUAACCCAAAUCUAAACAUGAAAUACACAGUAUGAACACAAGCUGAAAGCAAUUUCACGUGGCAUUUUUAAAGAGCCUGUUGCUGUUGGCUUCAACCUGACAAAUGAGGUCAGGUGUGGAAUUUUCCACUUGUGGUGUCAUAUAGGACCUCAGAAAGUUCCAGAACUGGAUUAUUUAGAAGUUUGGGGUUGGAGAUGUUCAACCUGUAUCACAGUCACACGGGACUCAUCCGACUGCACACAUCAGUGUAUGGUAUACGGUCAGUCAGGCCGUUAUGUCAAAACAAACCUGAAGCAGGCGGACAAUGUUUCAAACGAAUCAGGUGGGGAGUAUUCAUCCUAAGCCACCACACAAGCAUCCGACAGCAAUUACCGUUCAUCUUCCCCCUGUGCCAGCCCUGCUAGACCCACACUUGCGUUAGCUCAUUCAAUCCUCAUAAAACUUUGUGCGGGGUGGGGUGGGGUGUAGACAGGGUAAGAAGCUUGCUCAAAGUCCCUCAGAACAAUUCCUCGGUCCCAGCUCUUAAACCCAGUGAGGCACUUAGAUCUGGCUAUGCCACUAAAUGGCCAUGUCUGAGUUGGGUGGGUCUCUGAGCAAACAGCCUUUUAGUGGCUGGAUGCCUCCAAGUGAUACCUCAUAAAACUUCCUUUUUGAUGGUCACCAAAUUGUUCCCCCAAAUUAGUCAGGGCCUGUGUCAGUAGGUCUUAAAGUAUACGCUGCCUGGUGUGAUAAAGUCACAAUUUGAAUUUCAUUGUCCUCGCAAACAUAGUCUUACAUUUGGUCCUCAGAGGCACGGGGUUAUAGGCUACAGGGUUGCUUGGGCGCAGGGAAGCCUCACUUCUCUCAGUGGGCCACCAGUUACUCUGGGGCCACCAAGGUCACAGGCUGUUCACAUGGUCAGGGCAGUCCUGAGCCCAUAGGACAGAGCCCACUACUGUCCCUCCAGAAAAUGCCAGAGUCUUGGAGUCGUUCACGAGAUCCACAUGUCCUUCCUGGGGAGGCUCCCUUCAUCACCCUGGACCAGGAGCUCGUUCUCUCCACAGCCUUCAAGUCAAAAAGAAGACAACUUGUGUGGAUCUCCCCAUCUGGGGGAAAUAUAUAUAUCUUAGAUCAGCAAUUCUCAACCUGUGGGGUUGGAGGUCCUAUAUCACAUAUCCUGUAUAUCAGAUAUUUACAUUCAGAUUCAUAACAGUAGCAAAAUCACAGUUAUUUAUGCCUGGGGUGGGUCACUACAACAUUAGGAAUUGUAGUAGAGGGUUGCAGCAUUAAGAAGGUUGAGAACCACUGCUUUUAGACUAAAGCAAAUGUCCUUGAGGGAGGCUUUUCUUGUACUGCUGUCUUCAUAUGAAAGAAUAACCAUUGGUUUCUUCAGAUGUAACAAGAAUAACCAUUUGUCUCUUCAGAUGUAACAAGAAUAACCAUUGGUCUCUUCAGAUGUAACAAGAAUAACCAUUGGUCUCUUCAGAUGUAACAAGAAUAACCAUUGGUCUAUUCAGAUGUAACAAGAAUAACCAUUGGUCUCUUCAGAUGUAACAAGAAUAACCAUUGGUCUCUUCAGAUGUAACAAGAAUAACCAUUGGUCUCUUCAGAUGUAACAAGAAUAACCAUUGGUCUCUUCAGAUGUAACAAGAAUAACCAUUGGUCUCUUCAGAUGUAACAAGAAUAACCAUUGGUCUAUUCAGAUGUAACAAGAAUAACCAUUGGUCUCUUCAGAUGUAACAAGAAUAACCAUUGGUCUCUUCAGAUGUAACAAGAAUAACCAUUGAUCUCUUCAGAUGUAACAAGAAUAACCAUUGGUCUCUUCAGAUGUAACAAGAAUAACCAUUGGUCUCUUCAGAUGUAACAAGAAUAACCAUUGGUCUCUUCAGAUGUAACAAGAAUAACCAUUGGUCUCUUCAGAUGUAACAAGAAUAACCAUUGGUCUCUUCAGAUGUAACAAGAAUAACCAUUGGUCUCUUCAGAUGUAACAAGAAUAACCAUUGGUUUCUUCAGAUGUAACAAGAAUAACCAUUGGUCUCUUCAGAUGUAACAAGAAUAACCAUUGGUCUCUUCAGAUGUAACAAGAAUAACCAUUGGUCUCUUCAGAUGUAACAAGAAUAACCAUUGGUCUCUUCAGAUGUAACAAGAAUAACCAUUGGUCUCUUCAGAUGUAACAAGAAUAACCAUUGGUCUCUUCAGAUGUAACAAGAAUAACCAUUGGUCUCUUCAGAUGUAACAAGAAUAACCAUUGGUUAAGUGACAUUGGGCAGAUCUCCCAACAGAGUCCGGGCCUUCACUCACAAGGACAGGUGUGCUCCUGUCAUCAUCUGGUGAGAAGUCUGUAGCAUCCUUUACAAUUGAUCCAAAGUCACUGGGUAGAGGGAACCUCUCCACUACCCUGCCCCAUUGACAAAAAUAAAGAAAUGCAGGCCAGUGGGAGCAGUCAGCCGCUACACUGUCCCCUGCUGGCAACUUCUGAGGAA